This is a non-coding RNA of Pelobates cultripes (western spadefoot toad), 366 nucleotides long. NCBI's taxonomy places the organism in Eukaryota, Metazoa, Chordata, Amphibia, Anura, Pelobatidae. The record is from the annotation of a GenBank genome assembly.
GGACACAGAAUCAGACACAAAGAUGAGGGAAAGCCAAAAGUCAAGGAAACCAGAUAUCAGGGAAGUCAAAACAAAGCCAAAGUCAAAUACCAGAAAAUCAAGAUCAGGAACGCACUCUCGGAUAACCAUAGGCAUAAAACCACAAUAUGGCAAUGAGAAAAAGGAAAAUUGGGUUUAAAUACCCCUCCUGUGGAUCCGAUUGGUCAUGACCAGCCUUUGACCCCAAAAGUAAUUACCAGGUUUCCAUGUGCAUGAUUGCUGCUUGGCACAACUUUUCCUGUCAGGACAGUAAUGUUGCUCGGCUCAACUUUUCCUGUCAGGACAUUAAAUGCCAUUAACCACAUUUUUAUGUGUGGAUGAAUAUGU